This 1243-nucleotide ribosomal RNA is filed under the name metagenome. RNAcentral describes it as "bacterial LSU rRNA". It matches the Rfam family "Bacterial large subunit ribosomal RNA", at positions 1564 to 2817 of the family's 2925-position model. The record is from RNAcentral.
UGAAUACGAGAUGCUACGGCGUCGAAGCAGUGUAUGUCAGACUUCCAAGAAAAGCUCGCAAUGUCAUAAAUAAAGAAUGCCUGUACCAUAACCGACACAGGUGGGUAGGUAGAGUAUACUAAGGAGCGCGAGAUAACUCUCUCUAAGGAACUCGGCAAAAUAACUCCGUAACUUCGGGAGGAGGAGUGCCUUCUUUAAGAAGGUUGCAAUAACAAGAUCCAAGCAACUGUUUAUCAAAAACACAGGUCUCCGCUAAGUCGUAAGACGAUGUAUGGGGCUGACGCCUGCCCAGUGCCAGAAGGUUAAAGAAGCUGGUUAGCAAUAGCGAAGCUGGUGACUGAAGCCCUGGUGAACGGCGGCCGUAACGAUAACGGUCCUAAGGUAGCGAAAUUCCUUGUCGGGUAAGUUCCGACCCGCACGAAAGGCGUAAUGAUUUGGAUACUGUCUCGGAGAGGGACUCGGUGAAAUAGACUUGUCUGUGAAGAUGCGGACUACCUGCACCAGGACAGAAAGACCCUAUGAAGCUUUACUGUAACCUGAAAUUGAAAUUGGACUUUAUUUGCGCAGUAUAGGUGGGAGGCGUUGAAAGUAAUCUUGCGGGAUUAGUGGAGCCAUCAGUGAGAUACCACUCCUAUAAUGUUAGAUUUCUAACUUUGGAUCAUGAUCUGGUCAAAGAACAGUUUCAGGCGGGCAGUUUGACUGGGGCGGUCGCCUCCCAAAUGGUAACGGAGGCGUACAAAGGUUUCCUCUGAACGGGUAGAAAUCGUAUCUAGAGUGUAAAGGCAUAAGGAAGCUUGACUGUGAGACCUACAAGUCGAGCAGGGACGAAAGUCGGUCUUAGUGAUCUGACGGUGCUGAGUGGAAAGGCCGUCACUCAACGGAUAAAAGUUACUCUAGGAUAACAGGCUGAUCUCCCCCAAGAGUUCACAUCGACGGGGAGGUUUGGCACCUCGAUGUCGGCUCAUCGCAUCCUGGGGCGGUAGUACGUCCCAAGGGUUGGGCUGUUCGCCCAUGAAAGCGGUACGCGAGCUGGGUUCAGAACGUCGUGAGACAGUUCGGUCCAUAUCCGGUGUAGGCGUUAGAAUAUUGAGAGGAGCCUUCUCUAGUACGAGGGGACCGAGAAGGACAUACCUCUGGUGUACCAGUUAUCGUGCCAACGGUAAACGCUGGGUAGCUAUGUAUGGAGAGGAUAACCGCUGAAAGCAUCUAAGUGGGAAGCCCACCUCAAGAUGAGUAUUCUCAC